AAGAGAAAGCAAGAGCGAUUGCCUUAGUAGCGGCGAGCGAAACGGCAGGAGGGCAAACCGAGAAGUUUACUUCUCGGGGUUGUAGGACUGUAAUGUGGACGGAUAGAGUAUAGAAGAAUGACAUGGGAAGGUCAGCCAAAGAGAGUGAGAGCCUCGUAUUUGAAAUAGUCUAUCUACCUAACAGUAUCCUGAGUACGGCGAGACACGCGAAAUCUCGUCGGAAUCCGGGAGGACCAUCUCCCAACCCUAAAUACUCCCUAGUGACCGAUAGUGAACCAGUACCGUGAGGGAAAGGUGAAAAGCACCCCGGAAGGGGAGUGAAAUAGAACCUGAAACCGUGUGCCUACAAGAAGUUCGAGCCCGUUAAUGGGUGAGAGCGUGCCUUUUGUAGAAUGAACCGGCGAGUUACGUUAUGAUGCGAGGUUAAGUUGAAGAGACGGAGCCGUAGGGAAACCGAGUCUUAAUAGGGCGGAUUAGUAUUAUGUCGUAGACCCGAAACCAUGUGACCUACCCAUGAGCAGGUUGAAGGUGCGGUAAGACGCACUGGAGGACCGAACCAGGGCACGUUGAAAAGUGCUUGGAUGACUUGUGGGUAGCGGAGAAAUUCCAAACGAACUUGGAGAUAGCUGGUUCUCUCCGAAAUAGCUUUAGGGCUAGCGUCGACAUUGAGAAUCUUGGAGGUAGAGCACUGUUUGGAUGAGGGGGCCAUCUCGGUUUACUGAUUUCAGAUAAACUCCGAAUGCCAAUGAUUUAUGGUCGGCAGUCAGACUGCGAGUGCUAAGAUCCGUAGUCGAAAGGGAAACAGCCCAGACCACCAGCUAAGGUCCCAAAAUAAUUGUUAAGUGGAAAAGGAUGUGGGGUUGCACAGACAACUAGGAUGUUAGCUUAGAAGCAGCUAUUCAUUCAAAGAGUGCGUAAUAGCUCACUAGUCGAGUGACCCUGCGCCGAAAAUGUACCGGGGCUAAAACAAUUUACCGAAGCUGUGGAUAACACGAAAGUGUUAUGGUAGGAGAGCGUUCUAUGUGUGAAGAAGGUAUACCGUGAGGAGUGCUGGAACGCAUAGAAGUGAGAAUGCCGGUAUGAGUAGCGCAAGAUGGGUGAGAAUCCCAUCCACCGUAAGACUAAGGUUUCCAGGGGAAGGUUCGUCCGCCCUGGGUUAGUCGGGACCUAAGGAGAGACCGAAAGGUGUAUCCGAUGGACAACAGGUUGAUAUUCCUGUACUAGUGUAUAUAGUGAUGGAGGGACGCAGUAGGCUAACUAAACCCAGCGAAUGGAAGUGCUGGGCUAAACAGUGAGGUGUGCUAGGAGUUAAAUGCUUCUAGCUAUAACAUUGAGCUGUGAUGGGGAGCGAAGUUUAGUAGCGAAGUUAGUGACGUCACACUGCCAAGAAAAGCUUCUAGCGUUUAAGUAUACACUACCCGUACCGCAAACCGACACAGGUAGUCGAGGCGAGUAGCCUCAGGUGAUCGAGAGAACUCUCGUUAAGGAACUCGGCAAAAUGACCCCGUAACUUCGGGAGAAGGGGUGCUGACUUUUAGUCAGCCGCAGUGAAUAGGCCCAAGCAACUGUUUAUCAAAAACACAGCUCUCUGCUAAAUCGUAAGAUGAUGUAUAGGGGGUGACGCCUGCCCGGUGCUGGAAGGUUAAGAGGAGCGCUUAGCGUAAGCGAAGGUGUGAAUUGAAGCCCCAGUAAACGGCGGCCGUAACUAUAACGGUCCUAAGGUAGCGAAAUUCCUUGUCGGGUAAGUUCCGACCCGCACGAAAGGCGUAAUGAUUUGGGCGCUGUCUCGACAAUGCAUCCGGUGAAAUUGAAGUGCCAGUGAAGAUGCUGGCUACCCGCGCCAGGACGGAAAGACCCCAUGGAGCUUUACUCCAGCCUGGCACUGGGACCCGGUACCGCCUGCACAGGAUAGGCGGGAGGCGAGGAAGGUGCGGCCCAGGCCGCGCCGGAGCCGAUGUUGGGAUACCACCCUUGUGGCACUGGGUUUCUAACCGUGCGCCGUGAAGCCGGCGCAGGGACAAUGCCAGGCGGGGAGUUUGACUGGGGCGGUCGCCUCCGAAAGAGUAUCGGAGGCGCUCAAAGGUCCACUCAGGAUGGACGGGAACCAUCCGCAGAGCGCAAAGGCAGAAGUGGGCUUGACUGCGACACCGACGGGUGGAGCAGGUACGAAAGUAGGACUUAGUGAUCCGGUGGCAGAAAGUGGGAUUGCCAUCGCUCAACGGAUAAAAGCUACCCUGGGGAUAACAGGCUGAUCACUCCCAAGAGCUCACAUCGACGGAGUGGUUUGGCACCUCGAUGUCGGCUCAUCGCAUCCUGGGGCUGUAGUAGGUCCCAAGGGUUGGGCUGUUCGCCCAUUAAAGCGGUACGCGAGCUGGGUUCAGAACGUCGUGAGACAGUUCGGUCCCUAUC
RNAcentral lists this ribosomal RNA (2409 nucleotides) under activated sludge metagenome. Its description in RNAcentral is "bacterial LSU rRNA". It matches the Rfam family "Bacterial large subunit ribosomal RNA", at positions 216 to 2642 of the family's 2925-position model. The record is from RNAcentral.